This 183-nucleotide unclassified non-coding RNA is filed under the name soil metagenome. RNAcentral describes it as "partial contains 5.8S ribosomal RNA, internal transcribed spacer 2, and large subunit ribosomal RNA". The record is from RNAcentral.
AAGACUAUAGACCUGCGGAGUACCUGCGGAAGGAUCAUUAAUGAAUGGUCAUCCUUGAUCUUCUUACCCUCAAACCGCUGUGGAUGCAAGAUGUGUUUCGGCGUCGAGAGGCGCCGCCUUUAUGCUCCUUCAAGUCUGUAUUGUCUGUUAAACUAAUGUCAAAACUUUCAACAACGGAUCUCU